AAAAUAGGUUAAAACUACCACAUAGGUGUACCCCUUAUUUCUGUCAAUUACUUAUAUCCGUCAAUUCCUUGCAUUACCAUGGGUGACACGUACUCACAGGUCUCAGUGACACAAGGUUAGUCCGAGCCGCAACUAGCAGGAUUCAGGGGACCAUAGUCAGCUUGAUCCGCAUUACUCGCUCCACACGAGUUAGGGUACUAUAAAGCUUGUGGGGCAACU
RNAcentral lists this long non-coding RNA (219 nucleotides) under Prunus persica (peach). RNAcentral describes it as "long non-coding RNA (PPER_LNC007229)". Lineage: Eukaryota; Viridiplantae; Streptophyta; Magnoliopsida; Rosales; Rosaceae. The record is from RNAcentral.